GAGGAAGCCAGUUGAGCUGGAGGAGGAUGGGAGACAGUAGGAGAAGAGCUUGUUGUAUUUUCGUGAGGUUUGUGAGACCAAUGAUAAUGGGUCGCGGCCCAGACCAAGUAGGCCGGCAGAGCCCCCGAAGAGACCCUGGUUAUUUUGGCCGCAGCCGAAAUAGAAGUUGUCGAAAGCUUCAGUUGGGGUUAAAGUGAGCCUUUC
This 204-nucleotide unclassified non-coding RNA is filed under the name Hevea brasiliensis (rubber tree). The record is from RNAcentral. Lineage: Eukaryota; Viridiplantae; Streptophyta; Magnoliopsida; Malpighiales; Euphorbiaceae.